Molecule: ribosomal RNA, 416 nt
Filed under: uncultured bacterium
Lineage: Bacteria
Description: partial 16S ribosomal RNA
Rfam family: Bacterial small subunit ribosomal RNA
Source: RNAcentral
UGGGGAAUAUUGCACAAUGGGCGCAAGCCUGAUGCAGCAACGCCGCGUGAGGGACGACGGCCUUCGGGUUGUAAACCUCUUUUAGUAGGGAAGAAGCGAAAANUGACGGUACCUGCAGAAAAAAGCACCGGCUAACUACGUGCCAGCAGCCGCGGUAAUACGUAGGGUGCGAGCGUUGUCCGGAAUUAUUGGGCGUAAAGAGCUCGUAGGCGGUCUGUCGCGUCUGCUGUGAAAAACCCGAGGCUCAAACCUCGGGGCCUGCAGUGGGUACGGGCAGACNUGAAGUGCUGCUGNGGGAAGGGAAAUGGAAUUCCUGGUGUAGCGGUGGAAUGCGCAGAUAUCAGGAGGAACACCGAUGGCGAAGGCAGUUCUCUGGGCCGUAAACUGACGCUGAGGAGCGAAAAGCGUGGGGAGCG